This 219-nucleotide long non-coding RNA is filed under the name Suricata suricatta (meerkat). Its description in RNAcentral is "lncRNA (ENSSSUG00005009537.1)". Lineage: Eukaryota; Metazoa; Chordata; Mammalia; Carnivora; Herpestidae. The record is from RNAcentral.
GUCUGGGCUCUGCGAUGCUCACUCAUCUCUGUGAUGUUUCCAUUCAGAUCAGGAGCCCCCAGAGGGCGUAUAUUAGGUGCAGCCGGGUCCAGGGCCUUGAGCAAUGCUUGCAAACUUCCCCACCCCCUCACGCAUCUCCUGGUUCUGCUGUCCCCUUCUUGGCUUCAUCGGGCAGAGCCCAGCUUUCCCAGGCCUCCAGACUGCUGUAGCCUCGCCCAG